Molecule: long non-coding RNA, 455 nt
Organism: Drosophila guanche
Lineage: Eukaryota; Metazoa; Arthropoda; Insecta; Diptera; Drosophilidae
Exons: 3
Source: RefSeq, a predicted model, not a curated record
GUUGAAAACAAUGAUCUCCAUACUCUAGGCCAAUGAUUAUGUCAGAGGGCCUUUCGAAGUCGAGAGCUCCAUUUAUGAAACGAUCUUAUUAAUCUGACAUCAUAAUAAGCGAUUAAUCAAGUGGCAUUAACAAAGCCCCUGACCAAUGGCCACAACGCAGCAGACACCUGAGGCUGAGGCUGAGGCUGAGACUGAGACUGAGGCUAAGGCACCCCAGCCAGCACGAUCGGCAGCUGCUCCAAUCCACCCGCACUGUAACCCGCAUUGGACAUACUAUACACAUCUCUCUCGAGCGAGCGAGUCAGGAGCUCAAACAAAUUGAAUUCGCAUUGUUUGCAUAAUUGCUGGCCAUUUGUAAACCGAGUGAAUUCGAGUGACUGUGCUCACGUUUAUGUCGCAGAAUCGAAAUGAAUAAUUUUAGCAGAAUUCACAGAGAGCGUAUCCUCCUUAGCCUC